UUGAAAUGCAACUCCUUGGCCAUGGCGCAAAUCUGGGGGGAACGUGAUCUACGUAGAACAACAUUCUUUCUCCGACCAAAUGAGCUUCCAGAAAUGGAGGCAAAAGAUGACAACCUGUUUGAAGAAGAUGCAAGUUUCUUAUCCAUCACACAGCCAUUAGCUGCAGCCAAGGAUCCAACUGAGGACAUCGCAGUAAAGGUGGACGCCAUUCACUAUUUGAUAUCGGUAAAUGAGACGGUAGAGAGGUGGCGGGGGAAGGAGAUUAGGGUUUUAGAAUGGAGGGUUGUAUAAGAGGGGCAGGUUUAUCCUUGGUGUGGAAGAGCA
RNAcentral lists this unclassified non-coding RNA (324 nucleotides) under Hevea brasiliensis (rubber tree). Lineage: Eukaryota; Viridiplantae; Streptophyta; Magnoliopsida; Malpighiales; Euphorbiaceae. The record is from RNAcentral.